UACCUGCAGCACCAACCCUUCUAUCCAGCCUGCCUCACCGUUCCGUAAUUUUAGACAUCUGAAAUUCGGCAAUUAUUCACAGCUCAGAUAAGACAGCAGUACUUUCUAUCAUUCCUAUUAACCAAAUUCUGGUAGAUAGUCAUCUACGUGAACUGUUUCUCCUCUCCAGGGAAGCAACGUUCAGCGCUGCACGCACAGACACUGAGGUCGCCCAGGUACACAGCUCAGCACCCUCUGCCGUGAUGACCAACCACCUUCAAACAUGGAAUAUACAGCCAAAAUCUACUGACAGAAGAUUGCAGCCCCCUGGAGCUGAGCACAUAAAGGAGAGGGCCAUCAGCUGCAUACACCCUGCUGCAAAGCCUCCUUGUCUGGAGAAAACAAGCACUGGUGGGACCGCAGCACGUUGUCUCUCUGCCACUGCUGUCCCACUACAGAUGUCAGGAAGUUCAAGCAGCCAGUCGACAUUUGCAGAAUGAAUCAUGGGGCACCGCUUUCCACUCUGACAAAAACAACUGCUGUUCAGUCAGCGAGGCGAUGCUGAUCAAAUGGGUGGAUAGAAAAAGUGAACUCCCGGAACUGCUGCCAAAAAGGCUCCACCAGCACAAGGAAGCUGCACGCACUCCCCUGCAGAACUCCCAUUUCUCCCUGUCCUUAUUCUGCAGUUCCAUUUUCCCAGUUUAUUUACCUGCAGAGCGCAGCCUGUGGCACAGCUACCAGCUCUGUCCCAUAACUAGAGAAAACACUUUUGCUGGGAGAAGCUAGAAUCGUUAAAGCUGGAGGAAAGCAGAUAUGAUUUAUGGAACGCGGAGUGCUACAGGAGACAGAAAAAGCAGCUUCCUUUGUUGCCUGUUGCCAAAAUUUCAGAAGACCAGACAACAACUUUCAAAUUUCCAAGGGAACAGCCACUAAGUACGUCAAAAAUAGAGUUAGGAAACUGCCUGUUUCAGAAGUCUGAGUCUGUAAGGGGAGCCAGCAUUUUUCAGCAUUUCUGUCAUUUCCGACCAGAUCACUGAAGAGUUAAGAGACAUCUAUCUACCAACAAAACCCAGCCCCCAGAACAUGACAAAAUGAGGAAGGGAACCUACGUGGCAAAGAAAUAUUCACGUAUUCACAGUCAUUCAAUUAUUUAAAAUAAGUCUAAUUAUUUUUGCACAAUUUUAUCCGGAGAAGUUAUUUUUCCUCUACAAUUUUCAAACAUCUCUGCACUUUCUUAGGCAUAAGAGGCACAGCAGCAGACCAGGGAUCGCUUCACUACAGUCCCCCUUCUGUUCAAAAGCAGAUAAAUCUGAAAGCGUGAAAAAUGCAACCCUCAAUGCUCUUCUCUGAAAGGGGGAGAUAAGACUUUCCGGGUUCUUUCCGACUUAACUGAAAAUUUUGAUUUCAAUGUUGAAAUUAAAGACUUAGAAGAAGG
Molecule: long non-coding RNA, 1414 nt
Organism: Anas platyrhynchos (mallard)
Lineage: Eukaryota; Metazoa; Chordata; Aves; Anseriformes; Anatidae
Source: RefSeq, a predicted model, not a curated record